This 349-nucleotide transfer-messenger RNA is filed under the name Candidatus Cloacimonadota bacterium. It matches the Rfam family "transfer-messenger RNA". From Rfam's summary of the family: Bacterial tmRNA, also known as 10Sa RNA or SsrA, is named for its dual tRNA and mRNA-like properties. Its role is to liberate the mRNA from a stalled ribosome. The record is from RNAcentral. Lineage: Bacteria; Pseudomonadati; Candidatus Cloacimonadota.
GGGGGUGUUUUGGUUUCGACAGGGAACCAGGUGUUUCGUGAUGCAUGCCGGAUAUGUCAUCUAUCCCGUAUAGAUGGUGGCAAUAAUUAAACGCAAACAAUAAUUACGCUUUAGCUGCUUAAUCGCAGUUAACGUCUGUCCUGUCCGUACCUGCGGGAUGGGAACAGCCGUCGUAACAGUCAGGUUGCUGCAGAGGUGAUGUCUAUAACCUUUGCCUAAGCUUAUAGACUGGGUUUUGGGUGGUCUGAUUAUCGUCUAAACCAAAACCGAGACUUAACGAUAACUAAGCAUGUAGAUUUGCGGGAUAACGGUUUUUUGGACGCGGGUUCGACCCCCGCCACCUCCACCA